This 785-nucleotide ribosomal RNA is filed under the name uncultured Pelagibacteraceae bacterium. Its description in RNAcentral is "bacterial SSU rRNA". It matches the Rfam family "Bacterial small subunit ribosomal RNA", at positions 50 to 883 of the family's 1533-position model. Lineage: Bacteria; Pseudomonadati; Pseudomonadota; Alphaproteobacteria; Candidatus Pelagibacterales; Candidatus Pelagibacteraceae. The record is from RNAcentral.
AACACAUGCAAGUCGAACGAAGUAGCAAUACUUAGUGGCAGACGGGUGAGUAACAUGUAGGUAUCUGCCCUUUGGCCUGGAAUAACACGAGGAAACUUGUGCUAAUACCGGAUAAGUCUUUACGGAGAAAGCUUUAUGCACCAUUGGAUGAGCCUGCACUUGAUUAGUUUGUUGGUGGGGUAAUGGCCUACCAAGACUGUGAUCAAUAGCUGAUUUGAGAGGAUGAUCAGCCACAUUGGGACUGAGACACGGCCCAAACUCCUACGGGAGGCAGCAGUGGGGAAUCUUGCACAAUGGAGGAAACUCUGAUGCAGCGAUGCCGCGUGAGUGAAGAAGGCCCUUGGGUUGUAAAGCUCUUUCGUCGGGGAAGAAAAUGACUGUACCCGAAUAAGAAGGUCCGGCUAACUUCGUGCCAGCAGCCGCGGUAAUACGAAGGGACCUAGCGUAGUUCGGAAUUACUGGGCUUAAAGAGUUCGUAGGUGGUUGAAAAAGUUGGUGGUGAAAUCCCAGAGCUUAACUCUGGAACUGCCAUCAAAACUUUUCAGCUAGAGUAUGAUAGAGGAAAGCAGAAUUUCUAGUGUAGAGGUGAAAUUCGUAGAUAUUAGAAAGAAUACCAAUUGCGAAGGCAGCUUUCUGGAUCAUUACUGACACUGAGGAACGAAAGCAUGGGUAGCGAAGAGGAUUAGAUACCCUCGUAGUCCAUGCCGUAAACGAUGUGUGUUAGACGUUGGAAAUUUAUUUUCAGUGUCGCAGCGAAAGCGAUAAACACACCGCCUGGGGAGUAC